This 253-nucleotide ribosomal RNA is filed under the name uncultured bacterium. Its description in RNAcentral is "partial 16S ribosomal RNA". It matches the Rfam family "Bacterial small subunit ribosomal RNA", at positions 524 to 776 of the family's 1533-position model. The record is from RNAcentral.
UACGUAGGUGGCGAGCGUUGUCCGGAUUUACUGGGCGUAAAGAGCCCGCAGGCGGUCUGUUAAGUUUCAGGUGAAAUCUCCCGGCUCAACCGGGAGGAUGCCUGGAAAACUGGCAGACUUGAGGCAGGGAGAGGAAUGUGGAAUUCCCGGUGUAGUAGUGAAAUGCGUAGAUAUCGGGAGGAACACCAGUGGCGAAGGCGGCAUUCUGGCCCUGUCCUGACGCUCAGGGGCGAAAGCGUGGGGAGCAAACCGG